GUCGCUGGAACCUAGGAAUCCUGUAGUGAUACGAUGACGGUCUUCAUAUUCAAAACUUAGAUCUAUGAGCAGGGACAGAGCCAGAAUUUCAAAAUACGUGUAGCGAAAUUUUAAAUCAUUUACUGGUAAUUUGAGAUUCGCCGGUAAUUUGAUUGUUAAUUUAUUCAGGGGAUUCACUACAGAAAAGAAAAACCAAACCUUUUGCGACAAUCACAUUUCAUUGCUAAUUAAUGGCAAAAAUUAUCAUCAAGUGGAGAUUAAUGAUGGAUUAUUAACAAGCUUUCAAAAUACUAACUCUCUCAAAAUUCAAGAGAUUGUGCUAGAAAAUAUAAAUGACACUCUAAGGGGUAAUCAAGGAUAUCAAUUUAUUCUUCAAACCUGAGUGUUUCAAGAAAUGUUCUUAUCCCCAGUAGCGUAUUCAGGAAUCCCAGCUGGUAAGGGAGGCGAAAUUCGCCGAAUGCGAAAAAAAUGGCAUUAACUAUUUAUAAAAUCGAUUAUAAAAACCUAUAAAAAUGAAUAUUAAAUACAAUCAUGAAUUAAUAUUCAAAAUAUUAAAGUUAAGAUGAUAGUUAGCUAUUAUAUUUGAUUUUGCUAACUAACUAAAUGAAAUAAUGAACACUCAUUUUUACCUAUCAUCUUUUUAAUUCUAAGUCCAAAAAUAAGAAAUACCAUGAUGAUAGAGGAUUUGGG
RNAcentral lists this long non-coding RNA (690 nucleotides) under Zostera marina. Its description in RNAcentral is "long non-coding RNA (ZMAR_LNC000949)". The record is from RNAcentral. Lineage: Eukaryota; Viridiplantae; Streptophyta; Magnoliopsida; Alismatales; Zosteraceae.